UUAAAGAGCUCGUAGUUGGAUUUCUGCGGGGGCGGGGCGGCCGGUUGCUUAUAGCAACUCGAGCUAGCACUUCCCCCGCAUCCUGCCGCGAACCGUGCUACCAUUAGUUUGGUGGCGCUGGGGAUCGGCUCGUUUACUUUGAGAAAAAUAGAGUGUUCAAAGCAGGCCACACGCCUUGAAUAAGUUAGCAUGGAAUAAUGAUAAAGGACUUCGGUUCUAUUUUGUUGGUGUUCGGGACUGAAGUAAUGAUUGAUAGGGACAGUUGGGGCGGUCAGUAUUCCAAAGCGAGAGGUGAAAUUCUUAGACCUUCGGAAGACUAACAGCUGCGAAAGCGUUCCGCAAGGAUGUUCCCUUUGAUCAGGAACGAAAGUUGGGGGAUCGAAGA
Molecule: ribosomal RNA, 385 nt
Filed under: uncultured marine eukaryote
Lineage: Eukaryota
Description: bacterial SSU rRNA
Rfam family: Eukaryotic small subunit ribosomal RNA
Source: RNAcentral